RNAcentral lists this ribosomal RNA (482 nucleotides) under uncultured bacterium. RNAcentral's name for it is "partial 16S ribosomal RNA". It matches the Rfam family "Bacterial small subunit ribosomal RNA", at positions 28 to 523 of the family's 1533-position model. The record is from RNAcentral.
GACGGACGCUGGAGGCGUGCUUAACACAUGCAAGUCGAACGAUGAAAUGGAGCUUGCUCCAUGGAUUAGUGGCGAACGGGUGAGUAACACGUGAAUAACCUGCCCUUAAUUUUGGAAUAACCCAGGGAAACCUGGGCUAAUACCGGAUAAGUAAACCUGUGGCAUCACAUGGUUUUGGAAAGUUUUUCGAUUAAGGAUGGAUUCGCGGCCUAUCAGCUUGUUGGUGAGGUAAUGGCUCACCAAGGCGACGACGGGUAGCCGGCCUGAGAGGGUGAACGGCCACACUGGGACUGAGACACGGCCCAGACUCCUACGGGAGGCAGCAGUGGGGAAUAUUGCGCAAUGGACGAAAGUCUGACGCAGCGACGCCUCGUGAGGGACGAAGGUCUUCGGAUUGUAAACCUCUUUCAGCAGGGACGAAGCGAAAGUGACGGUACCUGCAGAAGGAGCACCGGCUAACUAUGUGCCAGCCGCCGCAGUAA